Loxodonta africana (African savanna elephant) is the source of this 1144-nucleotide non-coding RNA. NCBI's taxonomy places the organism in Eukaryota, Metazoa, Chordata, Mammalia, Proboscidea, Elephantidae. The record is from the annotation of a RefSeq genome assembly.
CCGCAGCUAAGCCCCGGGUCACUGAACUCAGGCCCUCUGUGCACCCUGUUCCACCCGACUUCUGGCAGCUCUCCAUUGCCCCCUCAGGGACCUGCAGCAAGCCGGCGGGCGGGCUGCAGCAAGGCAGUUGAGUCCUGGAUUCCCACCACAGGGGAGCUGUUGGUAGAUUCCCCCUGGGAGAGACCCCAGGGUUACAGCCAUGGGCCCCGGAGGGAGCCGGGCACAGGGAGCGCAGACCAGAGCCACGCAGGCCAAAGGGGCCACGCAGGCUGGGGCGCACGGGACACCGCUGGUUCUCCUCUCGAAGCCCCAGGGACUUCUGACCCUGAGGGCGGAUGAGGCCAGGGCCAGACCGGGGGGACCGCAGGCGGCACUGGCCGCUGCUGCUGCUGCUGCUGCUCCUGGGCCUGGGUCCCCUCGGCCUGCGGCCCCCGACUGCAACUCCGCGGAGCAGUGCCCCGGGCCCCCGAGCCCCGGCAGGGGGCAGUCGGUCCCGCUUGAGCAGUCUGUGGGGCAGGUUCCCACUCUGGCCUGGCCCCCGGGGGGCAGGCCCCAGGUGCUGGUCCCACCAGUUUUGGUCUGAGCCUCAGCCAUGGUGGUAUGUCUUCGGCAGCGGGACACAGCUUACUGUCCUAGGUCACCUCAAGGCUUCACCCUCAAUCACUCUGUUCCCACCAUCCUCUGAGGAGAUCCAAGCCAACAAGGCCACACUGGUGUGUCUCAUAAAUGACUUCUACCCGGGCACCGUGGUUGUGGCCUGGAAGGAAGACGGCAAAACCAUCACCCAGGGAGUGCAGACCACCAAGCCCUCCAAACAGAGCAACAACAAGUAUGCUGCCAGCAGCUACUUGACCCUGACGCCUGCCCAGUGGAAGUCUCAUAACAGCUACAGCUGCCAGGUCACGCAUGAGGGGAGCACCGUGGAGAAGAAGGUGGCCCCUGCGGAGUGUGCUUAGGGCCCUGAGCAUCCCUACUCAGGAGGACCCAGAGGAGCUGGACCCUGGGUACUGGGUCCCCCAUCCAGACAUCCAUUCUCCAACUUUCUACUGUGUUCCUGAUCCCCUCCUAUCAUCAGCUCAGACCUGGGUGGACCCCACACCCUCCCGAUUUCCACUUCUUCUCAAUAAAGAUCUGACGUUUAUCA